GAUGAACGCUGGCGGCGUGCCUAAUACAUGCAAGUCGAACGAAACUUCUUUAUCACCGAGUGCUUGCACUCACCGAUAAAGAGUUGAGUGGCGAACGGGUGAGUAACACGUGGGCAACCUGCCCAAAAGAGGGGGAUAACACUUUGAAACAGGUGCUAAUACCGCAUAACCAUAGUUACCGCAUGGUAACUAUGUAAAAGGUGGCUAUACUACCGCUUUUGGAUGGUCCCGCGGCGCAUUAGCUAGUUGGUAGGGUAAAGGCUUACCAAGGCAACGAUGCGUAGCCGAAUUGAGAGGUUGAUCGGCCACAUUGGGACUGAGACACGGCCCAAACUCCUACGGGAGGCAGCAGUAGGGAAUAUUCCACAAUGGGCGCAAGCCUGAUGGAGCAACGCCGCGUGGGUGAAGAAGGUCUUCGGAUCGUAAAACCCUGUUGUUAGAGAAGAAAGUGCGUGAGAGUAACUGUUCACGUUUCGACGGUAUCUAACCAGAAAGCAACGGCUAACUACGUG
RNAcentral lists this ribosomal RNA (512 nucleotides) under uncultured bacterium. RNAcentral describes it as "partial 16S ribosomal RNA". It matches the Rfam family "Bacterial small subunit ribosomal RNA", at positions 28 to 507 of the family's 1533-position model. The record is from RNAcentral.